Molecule: unclassified non-coding RNA, 144 nt
Filed under: uncultured Pleosporales
Lineage: Eukaryota; Fungi; Ascomycota; Dothideomycetes; Pleosporales
Description: sequence contains ITS2
Source: RNAcentral
GAAACUUCAAGCCAAGCUUGGUGUUGGGUGCUUGUCCCCUAACGGUAGACUCACCUCAAAUACAUUGGCGGCCGGUAUAUUGGCUACAGCGCAGCACAUCGCGUCUGGCGUCUAUAUACUGGUCCCCCAGAAGCAACCUCUUUU